AGCAGGUGGUUCUUGGUGACUGUUAGCAGCUCAUAGGUAUACAGGGUAUCACAAAAAUAUUCAGGGCCUACAAGCUCUACUCUUGUGAACUUGAAGCCCGAUUUUAACUCGCGCCCGUUGGGGAUGAUGGCGCUACUGUCACUCCUUUCGCGCCAUUGAGUUCAUAUUCUGUGUACGUUUAUUCUAUGGCAAACGCGCUCGGCAACGUGCGGCAAAAUUUCAACUCCAUAUGGUCAUAACCAAAGAGGAUUAGAUAGAAUGGAAGGUCCCAUAAAAGCGCUAUAUAAAAAAUCGUAUACGAGUUUCAGUGCCCUCUGGUGAGUGGGAACCGUAUUAAGCACCCCCUCCUUUCGUCUCACUCCGCAAGUUGCUCCGUAGUUCUAUAAUCCCAGAAAUCUCAGGUCACAAAUUUGAAUUAUGUGAACUUACAUUCACAGGUGGGACCUAAGGACAAUGUGAGACCUACGAACUACGUGGGACCUGGAACCAGCAGAGACUCCGACGCACUUGCCUAUAAUGUGCUUCCUAGAUCAUCCAGAGGUUGCACUGUCCAAAGAAAUCAAGUUCAACCAGCUAUCAGGAAAGGUGACAUCCUGAAAAUGAUUAGGUCGAGCAACUUGACCAAACCCAGGAAGCUCAAGAUCUAGAAGGCUGUGGCUACGCGGGGAUACCAAUUGCGAAUAUGAAAAAUCCGGAGGCUUUUUAGUCAACUUAAAAAAAUUUUUGCCAGUUGCUUCACGUGCAUCGACGGAUGAAACUAUUUCCAUUGCAUUAAAUUUUAAUGUUUCGAGUGCACCUGAAUUAUCUAUUCAGGCUGCCAUUCUAUAUGUAUCGCGAAUUGUUCGUAAGAAAAUUUGUUGUAGAAUUUGUUUAGAUUUAUAUUAUAACACUAACGAUGUCGGAGAAUAUACGUCGAUGCAUAGUGGAUGUAUAUCUUUAAUUUCUAAGGUCGUAUCUGUUUGCCAUGGUAAUGUUAAGAACAUGGCACAUAUUCCAGGGCUUGUUACGAUUCUUAAAUACCAAAUUUCAGAGCAUAUAAAAUUUGAUUUCAUAUGCUCCGAACAUGGCAAUAAUUUAACAACAUAUAUCAUACAUAAUUGUAUCAUAUAUGUUGUCGAAAAAUAUAUACGUAGAGUAAAUCGCGUUACAAGUGGAUUCGAAGAGAGAAUGGACUCGGAUCCACUUCUAACGCGACCUAUUAAUGUGAGUGUGCAAAAUUAUGCACGCAGGACUGGAUUCAUGUUUUAAUGGAAUUAUGUUUCAAUUUUUAAUAUUUUACAUUUGCUUUCUUUUAAUUAAAUUUUAUUUCCCUAAUAAUAAAUCCAGUCCUGUAUGAAGCUUAUACUUUAUGUUUACACUUUAUUAUGUGAAUAUACAGGGUGUCCCAGAACUUCUGUAAGAACCGGAAAUGGAGGGUAGCUGAUACGUUUCUGAACAACAAUUUCCUUUGCAAAAAUGUCGGUGGGAGCUUCAUUUUUCGUUAAUAAUUCAAAAAUAAAGCCUCCAACAACAUUUUUGCAAAGGAAAUUGUUGUUCAGAAUCGUGUCAGCUACCCCCCAUUUCCGGUUCUUACAGAAGUUCUGGGACACCCUGUAUAUGCAUUUUUAUAUUACUGUUGCGUUUGUAUUUUUAUAUAUUUUAUAUGUACGAAUAUGUAUGAGUGUGUGGAUUGUAAUGCAAUCGUAUGUAUGAAUGAAUACAUAUAUAUACGUAAACAUUUAAAACCAGCAAGAGUCACGGUUCUUCGACUAAGAUCAUCAGUGAUCAUGUUCUUAGGCGCAAAGCCACGAUUCUCACUGAUUUUAAAUGUUUACACUUUAUUAUGUGAAUAUAUAUGCAUUUUUAUAUUAUUGUUCCGUUUGUAUUUUUAUACAUUUUAUUUGAAUGUAUAUGUAUGAUUGUUGAUACUUUAUUAUGUAAUUAAAUAUGUUUUUUGUAUAUAUAUUUUAUACAAUUGAAUUUUAGAUUCUUUAUUGUUUUUUCAAUGUUUUCCAGUGAUAAUAAAUUUAAUUUUGUAUAAGUAGUCCUUUUUUCCCUAUAAUUAUUUUUUUAUUUAAAUUAAUUUUAAAGCAAGUAUAAAUACACAUACGUGGGAUCAUACCGUUGUGUGUGUGUCUCACGAAUUAUAUGUAUGCAGUAGUAACGACAUUUGCGCCAUCAUCCGCGACGGGCGCGAGUUAGAUUGGGUUUCAACGCUAAA
Molecule: long non-coding RNA, 2200 nt
Organism: Hylaeus anthracinus
Lineage: Eukaryota; Metazoa; Arthropoda; Insecta; Hymenoptera; Colletidae
Exons: 3
Source: RefSeq, a predicted model, not a curated record